RNAcentral lists this long non-coding RNA (5499 nucleotides) under Mytilus galloprovincialis (Mediterranean mussel). Lineage: Eukaryota; Metazoa; Mollusca; Bivalvia; Mytilida; Mytilidae. The record is from RNAcentral.
UGUGGUUUAAAGUAUAUUUAUUUCUUGGUUUUAAUUUAUAUCAAUUUCUGGUACCUUUAUAAUAUACUUUUGAUAUAUCUCCAUUUGUUUUAUUUUAAUGUUUUAUAGAUACAGCUAUUAUUUCAUAUUGGACAAUGUUCAGCGGCAAGUAUUACAUUGUGAUUUGGAUCAGAUCAAAAGAUGUGUACAUUGAAGCAUACAUUCGGAGCCAUAGAAUAAAAAGAAAAAGAAAUUACAGUGAAAAACAGGUAAUUUUGAAAGGUUUUAUGAUAGACUUAUUAAGAUAAUUUCUAUCCGGAAGUUAGUAUACCUCAUUUCAUAUUUAUUGCUACAAAAUUUGCUUUUCAAUCAAAUAAAUUGUAUAAAAUUUCAGAUAAAUAGUGUUUGAAGUAAACAAUACAAAGAAAACUGAAGUUCGGUAAUUGAGUACCAAGAGUCAAUUCAUAUAACAAAAGAGGGAUGUAUAAGUACGCAGCCACACGUUGGGCUGACUGAGCUUUGAUUUUAAUCAAAUUUGGCCAUUUUCUUUCAAAAUAUUUUACAAUAAUAAAAGAGUACUUGUGGCAUGAUUGCCAAUGACAUGAGUGAGAUACAUUUGUACCAGACCAGUGCAUUAGAUGAGUCAUGAAAAGUGUCUCUUGUCCUCUACAUCAGGAAUACUGAUACAAGCAUUUUUUUUAUUGAAAAAAACUUGCUUACAGAAUGUGGUUUAAAGUAUAUUUAUUUCUUGGUUUUAAUUUAUAUCAAUUUCUGGUACCUUUAUAAUAUACUUUUGAUAUAUCUCCAUUUGUUUUAUUUUAAUGUUUUAUAGAUACAGCUAUUAUUUCAUAUUGGACAAUGUUCAGCGGCAAGUAUUACAAAGUGAUUGGAUCAGAUCAAAUCAAAAGAUGUAAAUCUUGAAGCACACAUUCCGACUUGUAGAAUAAACAUGAUAAAGAGAUGAAGGAAAGACAGUGAAAAACAGGAAAUAUUUUAAAGGGUAAACAUGGUACACAUUUCGUUUUUAAAUACAAUGUAUAGUAAUAUACUGACGAUGAAAUAAAUUUAUGAUAGUUUCCAUCAGGAAAUAAGCGUAGCUCAUUUUAUCUUUAUUGUUACAAAAUAUGCUUUACACUCAAAUAAAUUGUAUAAAAUUUCAGAUAAAUAGUGUUUGAAGUAAACAAUACAAAGAAAAAUAAGUUCGGUAAUUGAGAACAAAGAGUCAAUUCAUAUCACAAAAGUUGGAUGUAUAAGUACGCAGCCACACAUUGGGCUGACUGAGCUUUGAUUUUAAUCAAAUUUGGCCACUUUCUUUCAAAUAUUUUACAAUAAUAAAAGAGAACUUGUGGCAUGAUUGCCAAUGACAUGAAUGAGAUAUGUUUGUACCAGAGACCAAAGUGCAUUAGAUGAGUACUGAAAAGUGUCUCUUGUCCUCUACAUCAGGAAUACUGGUACAAGCAUUUUUUAUUGGAAAAAACUUGCUUACAGAUUGUGGUUUAAAGUAUAUUUAUUUCUUAGUUAUAAUGUAUAUCAGUUUCUGGUACCUUUAUAAUAUACUUUUGAUAUGUCUCCAUUUGUUUUAUUUUAAUGUUUUAUAGAAACAGCUUUUAUUUCGUAGUGGACAAUGUUCAGCGGCAAGUAUUACAAUGUGAUUUGGAUCAGAUCAAAAGAUGUUUACAUUGAAGCAUACAUUCCGACCAAUAGAAUAAAGAGAAAAAGAUGAUACAGUGAAAAACAGGAAAUAUUUGAAAGGGUAAACAUUUCUUUUUUAAAUAUGAUAGACUUAUUAUGAUAAUUUCCAUCCGGAAAUUAGUAUACCUCAUUUCAUAUUUAUUGUUACAAAAUUUGCUUUACAAAUAAAUUCUAUAAAAUUUCAGAUAAAUAGUGUUUGAAAUAAACAAUACAAAGAAAAACUAAGUUCGGUAAUUGAGAACAAAGAGUCAAUUCAUAUAACAAAAGAGGGAUGUAUAAGUACGUAGCCACACAUUGGGCUGACUGAGCUUUGAUUUUAAUCAAAUUUGGCAACUUUCUUUCAAAUAUUUUACAAUAAUAAAAGAGAACUUGUGGCAUGAUUGCCAAUGAGAUAACUUUGUACAAGAGAUCAAAGUGCAUUAGAUGAGUUUAAAGUGUCUCUUGUCCUCUACAUCAGGAAUACUGAUACAAGCAUUUUUUAUUAGAAAAACUUACUUACAGAUUGUGGUUUAAAGUAUAUUUAUUUCUUAGUUAUAAUUUAUAUCAAUUUCUGGUACCUUUAUAACAAACUUUUAAUAUGUCUCCAUUUUUUUUAUUUUAAUGUUUUAUAGAUACAGCUAUUAUUUCAUAUUGGACAAUGUUCAGCGGCAAGUAUUACAUUGUGAUUUGGAUCAGAUCAAAAGAUGUGUACAUUAAGAGAUACAUUCGGAGCCAUAGAAUAAAAAGAAAAAGAAAUUACAGUGAAAAACAGGUAACUUUGAAAGGUUAAACAGUUCUGUUUUAAAUAUGAUAGACUUAUUAAGAUAAUUUCUAUCCGGAAAUUAGUAUACCUCAUUUCAUAUUUAUUGCAACAAAAUUUGCUUUACAAUUAAAUUGUAUAAAAUUUCAGAUAAAUUGUGUUAAAAGUAAACAAUACAAAGAAAAAAUAAGUUCGGUAAUUGAAUACAAAGAGUUGAUUUUAUAUAACAAAAGAGGGAUGUAUAAGUACAAAGCCACACAUUGGGCUGACUUAGAUUUGAUUUCAUUCAAAUUUGGCAACUUUCUUUCAAAUAUUUUACAAUAUAAUAAAAGAGAACUUGUGGAAUGAUUGCCAAUAAGAUAACUUUGUACCAGAGACCAAAGUGCAUAAGAUGAGUACUGAAAAGUGUCUUUUGUCUAUUACUGACUGAUACAUGUAUAAGCCUUUUUUUUAUGGAAAAUAUUUACUUUCAGAUUGUGGUUUAAAGUAGCAUACAUUUCUUAGUUAUAGUUUAUAUCAAUUGCUGGUACCUUUAUAACAAACUUUUAAUAUGCCUCCAUUUGUUUUAUUUUGAUGUUUUAUAGAUACAGCUAUUAUUUCAAAAAGGACAGUGUUCAGCAGCAAGUAUUACAAUGUGAUUUGGAUCCAAUCAAAAGCACAAACUGACAAAUGAAAUAUCAAAGAAUUAUCCACAGACAAUUCUAAAAGAUAGUGAGAGACAGGAAAUAUUUGAUAAGGUUAACAUUUUUAAAUAGUAAGCAGAUUGUGGCCUAAUUAUGAUUUAUAAACCUAGAUUAAGAUAUACAAAAUGUAUGAAAAUUUUGCUUGUACUUUUUCAAAUAAUACAAUUUGUUUUCAUAGUAAUUCUCACAUAUUACAAUUGUGAUAAAGGCUUAACAGAUAUUUAUACAUGUUACAAAUAGUAUUAUCAUUGUCAGUAUAAUUGUUUCACAAAUUAGGAUUAUUUAAUCAUCUCUGCUGUAAAAUUAUAAAAAAAAAUUAAGAUAGUCAUUUACUGGUUAGAGUCUUAACAAGUGGUAAUUGUGUACUUUUAUUAUUUACCAAUUUACUCCUAUUAAAGAUGUGUCAUUCUUUGUAAGAGGUAUAUCAGGGCAAUGCAAAGUGAUAAAAUAUGUUAAACUGUAUCCUCUUAAAAAAAUGUCAGAUUUCAGGUAAAGGGGAAAUAACUCUUACAAUAUCAAAACACUGAAAAUAAGAACUUUGAGAAUAUCAUUUUUUUUUUAAACUUGUAUAUCCUGGAUAUUUUAAUCAUUACACUAUGAUAUUUAAACACAUUACCAUAUGAUGUUAAAACACAGUACCAAUGUACAUAAAGAGUGCAUGUCAUAUUUUAAGUCAAGGGGAAAUAACCUUUACAAUAUCAAAAUAUUUAAAUUAGAAAUGUAAGAGUAUUACAUAUAUUAUACUGUUUUCAACUUCAACAAAAUGGUUUUUAAUACUGUUUAAUCAUAUAUUUUUAUAUUCUCAGCUUGAACAGAACAUCUAUCCAGCACUUGAAACUUUUUUUUUCUUCAAAUUAUCAUGAAGUUUUAUAUUUUACAGAAGUAUCAUACAAUAAUGUGCAGUCAAGAACUUGGUGUUAUUCGGGACAUGGAUUAAAUGGAUCAUGAACCAAAUUUCAGAUUGUGAUAAUGGUAAGUAAUUGUAACCAACUAUGUCUUGAAUAUUCACAUACAUAAAAAUGAAUAUAGGUUGAAACUGUCAUCCAGCAGUUAACAAUUUUUAUCAUUCAGAAAGAAAAAUGUGCAAAAAAGUAAUAAAUUUCGGAUUGAAACACAUUAUAAGAAAUUAGCUUAAAUGUCAUGAAAGUUAUUAUAUGUUGAUUCUCAUAUUUUUCUCUGUGAUUUAUAAAUUUAAUUCCUUCUGGCAAGCACUGACUCAGUAUAGGACUUGAGAAAAUUGUCAAGACAAAUCACAAAUGAAGUAUUUGAGAACAUGAAGCACAUUAAAACUAUUUGAGAACACUGUCAAUGUCAAGUACAUAAAUAUAUUUGAGAAAUACAAUUUGAGAAAACUGUCAACAUAAAGUACAUAGAAAUUAUUUUGAGAAAUAUUAUUUGAGAAACACUGUGAACAAGAAGCACAUAAACUAUUUGCGAAAAGACUGUCAAUAUGAAGCACAUAAACUAUUUGAGAAACACCGUCAACAUGAAGCACAUAAACUAUUUGACCAACACCGUCAACAUGAAGCACAUUAAACUGUUUGACCAACACGUCAACAUGAAGCACAUUAAAACUAUUUGACCAACACCGUCAACAUGAAGCACAUAAACUAUUUGACCAACACCGUCAAUAUGAAGCACAUAAAGUAUUUGACCAACACCGUCAACAUGAAGCACAUAAACUAUUUGACCAACACCGUCAACAUGCAUAAACUAUUUCACCAACACCGUCAACGUGAAGCACAUAAACUAUUUGACCAACACCGUCAAUGUGAAGCACAUAAACUAUUUGACCAACACCGUCAAUGUGAAGCACAUAAAUAUAUUUGAUAAAUGCUGUCAACAUGAAGCACAUAAAAAAUAUUUGAGACAAAUGUCAACCUGUAGCACACAAACAAUUUGAAAAGAAAUUGUCAAUCUGAAGCAGCCAAACUGCUUGAAAAAAAACUUAACAUGUAAUAUAAACCCUACUUGAUACAACUUUCAACAUGAAGCCCAAAUGAAAUAUUUACAUAAAAUAUGGCCCUGUCACGUUGGCCACUUUACUGAGUAAAGAGUUUCCAGUUGAUACCGCGUGGAGGUGUGACUUGGACUUGGUCAUAUUAACCCAUUUAUCAACCUUUUUUUUUUUUUUUUUUCUUCAUUAUGUAAGAAGAUUUUUUUUUUUAUUAAAAAAGUGUAAUUUAAUUUUAACAGUAUAAAUUUUAAAUAUGAGCAUACAUAUCAACACAACACAAACUGUAUCUAUAUUUUUUAUUACUGCUAAGUCGGAACUUCUACUGUAUUAUGUAAAAAAAAAAUAAUUCUCACCGAACAUUAUUUUUGAAUAUAUUCUGCUUUCAGAAUGUGAAAACAGAUGAAUUCAAGUGGACAGCUACAACCUUACUGAAAUACAUGUGAUAUGGG